Molecule: ribosomal RNA, 450 nt
Filed under: uncultured bacterium
Lineage: Bacteria
Description: partial 16S ribosomal RNA
Rfam family: Bacterial small subunit ribosomal RNA
Source: RNAcentral
GUGGGGAAUAUUGGACAAUGGGCGAAAGCCUGAUCCAGCCAUGCCGCGUGUGUGAAGAAGGUCUUCGGAUUGUAAAGCACUUUAAGUUGGGAGGAAGGGCAGUAAGUUAAUACCUUGCUGUUUUGACGUUACCGACAGAAUAAGCACCGGCUAACUUCGUGCCAGCAGCCGCGGUAAUACGAAGGGUGCAAGCGUUAAUCGGAAUUACUGGGCGUAAAGCGCGCGUAGGUGGUUUUGUAAGUUGGAGGUGAAAUCCCCGGGCUCAACCUGGGAACUGCCUCCAAAACUACUGAGCUAGAGUACGGUAGAGGGUAGUGGAAUUUCCUGUGUAGCGGUGAAAUGCGUAGAUAUAGGAAGGAACACCAGUGGCGAAGGCGACUACCUGGACUGAUACUGACACUGAGGUGCGAAAGCGUGGGGAGCAAACAGGAUUAGAUACCCGUGUAGUCC